This 429-nucleotide ribosomal RNA is filed under the name Chloroflexota bacterium. RNAcentral describes it as "Chloroflexi bacterium partial 16S ribosomal RNA". It matches the Rfam family "Bacterial small subunit ribosomal RNA", at positions 355 to 776 of the family's 1533-position model. The record is from RNAcentral. Lineage: Bacteria; Bacillati; Chloroflexota.
UGGGGAAUAUUGCACAAUGGGCGCAAGCCUGAUGCAGCCAUGCCGCGUGUGUGAAGAAGGCCUUCGGGUUGUAAAGCACUUUCAGCGGGGAGGAAGGCGUUAAGGUUAAUAACCUUGGCGAUUGACGUUACCCGCAGAAGAAGCACCGGCUAACUCCGUGCCAGCAGCCGCGGUAAUACGGAGGGUGCAAGCGUUAAUCGGAAUUACUGGGCGUAAAGCGCACGCAGGCGGUCUGUCAAGUCGGAUGUGAAAUCCCCGGGCUCAACCUGGGAACUGCAUUCGAAACUGGCAGGCUAGAGUCUUGUAGAGGUGGGUAGAAUUCCAGGUGUAGCGGUUAAAUGCGUAGAGAUCUGGAGGAAUACCGGUGGCGAAGGCGGCCCCCUGGACAAAGACUGACGCUCAGGUGCGAAAGCGUGGGGAGCAAACAGG